CUGCGCCCGCUGACGUGACGAGUCCCCGGUUGUGUUACCGGCGGUGAAGCAGUGUUGCGUCUGUCCCUGGUGGUCAUGCUGUGGUGGACAGCGGUGUGGAGGGAGAGGUGGAUGUGACCCAUGAACUACCUCUAACAAUGGUGAUGAAGAACCAGAAGUGGGUUGUAGGUGACGAGAUAACUAUCCCAGGUCAUCCCGGAAGUGGCGAGGUGACCCCAUACAGCUCCACAAGGUCGUGGAGGACGCCAGAUAUAGCCACGUGGUCGCCUACACUCAGCCAUCCACCUCACCUGCCCCAGACUGCUACCCGGACACCAUCCAGCCACAAGAACCCAGAUAAGCACUUCCGGGUUCCUUGGUUGUGGUUAGCUAGCUAGUUUGUUUAGGGGUCACUUGCUGUACAUAGGAACCCUCCUCGGUCUGCUGCUAUUUUUUUUAUUUUUAUUUUUGAGGUGUAACGCUGUCCUCUACGUGAGAGUGAUAGUGUUUAUCUUUAUUUAUUUAUUUUUUUUUUCCUGAAGACCAGUUCUGAGGUUAUCUUGGAGGUUAACGGAGAAGAGUUCUUCACACCUGUGUUUGUUGUUUUAUUUUAUUUUUUUAUUGGUCACUUUUUGUUUUUUGUUGUGAUU
Scylla paramamosain (green mud crab) is the source of this 629-nucleotide long non-coding RNA. RefSeq lists it as uncharacterized. Lineage: Eukaryota; Metazoa; Arthropoda; Malacostraca; Decapoda; Portunidae. The record is from RefSeq and is a predicted model, not a curated record. The transcript is spliced from 2 exons.